Molecule: ribosomal RNA, 1308 nt
Filed under: Escherichia coli
Lineage: Bacteria; Pseudomonadati; Pseudomonadota; Gammaproteobacteria; Enterobacterales; Enterobacteriaceae
Description: partial 23S ribosomal RNA
Rfam family: Bacterial large subunit ribosomal RNA
Source: RNAcentral
AUAAUGGGUCAGCGACUUAUAUUCUGUAGCAAGGUUAACCGAAUAGGGGAGCCGAAGGGAAACCGAGUCUUAACUGGGCGUUAAGUUGCAGGGUAUAGACCCGAAACCCGGUGAUCUAGCCAUGGGCAGGUUGAAGGUUGGGUAACACUAACUGGAGGACCGAACCGACUAAUGUUGAAAAAUUAGCGGAUGACUUGUGGCUGGGGGUGAAAGGCCAAUCAAACCGGGAGAUAGCUGGUUCUCCCCGAAAGCUAUUUAGGUAGCGCCUCGUGAAUUCAUCUCCGGGGGUAGAGCACUGUUUCGGCAAGGGGGUCAUCCCGACUUACCAACCCGAUGCAAACUGCGAAUACCGGAGAAUGUUAUCACGGGAGACACACGGCGGGUGCUAACGUCCGUCGUGAAGAGGGAAACAACCCAGACCGCCAGCUAAGGUCCCAAAGUCAUGGUUAAGUGGGAAACGAUGUGGGAAGGCCCAGACAGCCAGGAUGUUGGCUUAGAAGCAGCCAUCAUUUAAAGAAAGCGUAAUAGCUCACUGGUCGAGUCGGCCUGCGCGGAAGAUGUAACGGGGCUAAACCAUGCACCGAAGCUGCGGCAGCGACGCUUAUGCGUUGUUGGGUAGGGGAGCGUUCUGUAAGCCUGCGAAGGUGUGCUGUGAGGCAUGCUGGAGGUAUCAGAAGUGCGAAUGCUGACAUAAGUAACGAUAAAGCGGGUGAAAAGCCCGCUCGCCGGAAGACCAAGGGUUCCUGUCCAACGUUAAUCGGGGCAGGGUGAGUCGACCCCUAAGGCGAGGCCGAAAGGCGUAGUCGAUGGGAAACAGGUUAAUAUUCCUGUACUUGGUGUUACUGCGAAGGGGGGACGGAGAAGGCUAUGUUGGCCGGGCGACGGUUGUCCCGGUUUAAGCGUGUAGGCUGGUUUUCCAGGCAAAUCCGGAAAAUCAAGGCUGAGGCGUGAUGACGAGGCACUACGGUGCUGAAGCAACAAAUGCCCUGCUUCCAGGAAAAGCCUCUAAGCAUCAGGUAACAUCAAAUCGUACCCCAAACCGACACAGGUGGUCAGGUAGAGAAUACCAAGGCGCUUGAGAGAACUCGGGUGAAGGAACUAGGCAAAAUGGUGCCGUAACUUCGGGAGAAGGCACGCUGAUAUGUAGGUGAAGUCCCUCGCGGAUGGAGCUGAAAUCAGUCGAAGAUACCAGCUGGCUGCAACUGUUUAUUAAAAACACAGCACUGUGCAAACACGAAAGUGGACGUAUACGGUGUGACGCCUGCCCGGUGCCGGAAGGUUAAUUGAUGGGGUUAGCGCAAGCGAAGC